This 1072-nucleotide long non-coding RNA is filed under the name Homo sapiens (human). Its description in RNAcentral is "HSALNT0043353". Lineage: Eukaryota; Metazoa; Chordata; Mammalia; Primates; Hominidae. The record is from RNAcentral.
UGUAAAUGAAAUGAUGUCCACUAAUUUAAGGAGAUGGCCGGGUGUGAGCCAAUGAGCCCGGUCCCAAUGUGACUUAUUAAGAUCACACCAAAGUUACUACCUGGCAUUUUUCUGGUGGAAGCACUCAGCGUACAUUCUGAUGACUUUAACCAAUAUAAUAAUUCGUCUCUACUAGAAGACAAGCAGCAGCUGUCAGCUGCCAUGCAUACCAGCAGCUGGCAAACAAACUAAAUCCUUUUUAUGUGAAAGAAAACAACAUCCUAAUCCACUCCCCGCUUCCCCCGACCCCCUACCAAUCAACCUAUCCAGGAAGACAAAAACCCCUCAAAGUUCUCCAUAAAUAAAUACCUGACCAAAGUUAAACACGGCACAGAAAAACUGUAACUCAACAUAAAGUCUUCCAGGCUCUUGGUUGAAUAGCCACCAUAAACAACUGGAAAGAUUCUGUAAAGAAAGGAGAAAAGAGUAUUUUAAAAUCAAGCAAGCUGAUAAUUCCUCUCCAUCCACAGCAUAGUACAAUAACUUACCUACUUAAUAAUUACAGGGAAAAAGACUAGACGGAAAAACACUGAGAGAAUAUAGAGGCUUUAUCUUUUCAAUAAGAAAGUUUCAACCUCUCCUCCUGACAGAUGUCAUUCAAACAGUUAUCUAUUCUGAUCAGAUUUGAAGCAAGAAGACAUGAGCCAUAAUACAGAAGCUUACAUAAUGUAUCAAGAUUGCCAACUAGCCUAAGACAGGCCUGAUUUUAAAUUUAGUUCUACACAAUGAAAACAAUUACAUCACUAAGCAAUUCUUGGCAGCAUUUCUUAUUUUUUGAUUUUUGUUCUUAAAUGGCACUUAAAGUGGUAUUGGCUGAUAUCACACUAUCUCACGAGCAUCCCAGUGUGCAAAGCGUUCCUUCAUAGGUUAUCUGGUCCAUCUCCUACCUCUGGACGAGUUACACUUGAACCAUCUCAAAGAAUUAUAUAAUAAGAACUGAUAAUUCACAAAUAGGACAUUUAGUAAUCAAAGAAAUGCAUGUAGUCUAAAAAUAAAAUACUGUAUUUUAAUUUUCUCUAUUUUGUAAGGGUCU